UGGGGAAUUUUGGACAAUGGGGGAAACCCUGAUCCAGCCAUCCCGCGUGUGCGAUGAAGGCCUUCGGGUUGUAAAGCACUUUUGGCAGGAAAGAAACGUCAUGGGUUAAUACCCCGUGAAACUGACGGUACCUGCAGAAUAAGCACCGGCUAACUACGUGCCAGCAGCCGCGGUAAUACGUAGGGUGCAAGCGUUAAUCGGAAUUACUGGGCGUAAAGCGUGCGCAGGCGGUUCGGAAAGAAAGAUGUGAAAUCCCAGAGCUCAACUUUGGAACUGCAUUUUCAACUACCGGGCUAGAGUGUGUCAGAGGGAGGUGGAAUUCCGCGUGUAGCAGUGAAAUGCGUAGAUAUGCGGAGGAACACCGAUAGCGAAGGCAGCCUCCUGGGAUAACACUGACGCUCAUGCACGAAAGCGUGGGGAGCAAACAGG
Molecule: ribosomal RNA, 429 nt
Filed under: Acidobacteriota bacterium
Lineage: Bacteria; Pseudomonadati; Acidobacteriota
Description: Acidobacteria bacterium partial 16S ribosomal RNA
Rfam family: Bacterial small subunit ribosomal RNA
Source: RNAcentral